RNA transcript from Amborella trichopoda, 1733 nucleotides. It is a transcript of the gene named WAT1-related protein At5g64700, with no coding region annotated. The record is from RefSeq and is a predicted model, not a curated record. NCBI's taxonomy places the organism in Eukaryota, Viridiplantae, Streptophyta, Magnoliopsida, Amborellales, Amborellaceae.
CAUUUCUGAGAAAUUUGAGAUUUGGGGAAAUUUUUUAAGAAUCCGAGAUUUUCGGGAGCCGAGAAAAUGAGAAGCAGGAGAUAUUUUGAGGGCUUCAAGCCCCAUAUGUUAUUGACAUUGGAUCAGGUGGCUCUUGCUGGUUUCUUGGCGGUGCUCCACUCUGUUCUCUCUCAUGCAUCAGUGCAUAUGUCUUUGUGGUUUAUGAGCACAUCCUUGCCACUCUCACUCUCUCUCUCCUCGCCUUCUUCCUUGAAAGGCAAGUCCCUCUCUCUCUUCCCCCUGCAAAAAGUUGGGACCAUCUCUUUUUUUAUCUCUCCUAUUUUAUGUAUGAAAAUUUGGCACUCCCUGUUUCUAUCAAAGUUUAGCUCUCUCCCUGUAAUUUAUUUAUUUAUGAAGUUGGUCAAAGUGAUUUUUUAGUGUGAGAAUGGUCUACUGACCAUAUUAAUUGUUCUUUGGAUGAUUUUUUUAAUGGUAGAAAUAAGAUGCAGAGGCCGUCGUUCAAGAUAAUAUGUUGGGGUUUCUUCCUGGGCUUCAUCCAGAUCCCAAUAUGCCAAUUGCUAUUAACUGCAAGCCUCCAUUUCAUAUCUGCAACUUUCCAAAGCAUCACUCUAAACACCAUUCCCUUUUUUACCUUCAUUGGGGCCACACUUUUUGGUCAAGAAAACCUUAACUUCUUCACUAUUUAUGGGCAAGCCAAGACACGGGGCGUACUGCUUUCUUUUGGGGGAGCAACGGCCAUGGUUCUGUGGACCGCCGGACCAUCUUCCUAUAAUCAAAAUUCCACCUCUCUACCCUCAAAUGCUGGUCUUGGGAGCAUCAGAAAUGAGGUUAUUGGGGGUGUUAUGGUCAUCUGUGGUGCUAUUGCUGGAGCCUCAUGGAAUCUACUAAUGGGAUCCAUGAAGAAGAAGUACCCAGCAGUUCUGUCACUAACGGCGAUGAUGGCAUGCUUUGGGACCAUCCAAACAGCAAGCAUAACGGCAUUGUUCGAGAGGAAGCCGUCUGCUUGGAAAAUCGGACAGCAUUGGGGGCUCGAGCUUUUAGCCAUUGCCUACGGGGGUCAUUUAACUUACCAGUUAGAACGAGAUUAUUAUUUUUCGUAUCACAAAUACUCUAAUAAAAUACUUGGGGUGUGGCAUUCCUUCACACAGGAGUCUGAGAAAAGCUUUUCGGACUUGGGGUGCAAUCAAUAGUAUAUGUCCCUAAAUAUUCAAUUUUUUGUCCGUCUGGUAUACUGUUAGAGAUGAUUGUGAACAAUUUUAUACCAAGGGCAAGUAGACUUAUACUUCUCGAUUCAGAAGUAGUCUUUUGGGUAUGAAAGGCUCAGCAGUCAUUUCAGCUUUCUUGGGAAUAAUCAUCACAGGCUUAUCCUUCUAUGUAGAAACAUGGUGUCUGUACAAGAAGGGUCCGGUUUUCAAAUCCGCAUUCUCUCCCCUCCUCAUUGUCUUCUCUUUCAUCCUUGACACCAUUGCGCAAGGAAGCCUUGUUAAUCUCAGGAGCUUACUUGCAGCAGUGAUGGUGGUGGGAGGUUUAUAUAUGCUCUUGUGGGCCAAAGCUCAUGACAAUGAGGAGGGCACCGCAAAAGAAGAUGAGAGCCUAAAUUCUCUUUUGUCACCUGAGUAGAGCUAUUUCUAAAUAGAUGUUUCUUGUCAACUUCAAAUUAAUAGUUUUGCUUUUGGAUUGCACGACAUGUAAAGCUAUUUUGAAGUAAUGAUAUGUUUCUUCUCAAAUUCAAA